This 397-nucleotide ribosomal RNA is filed under the name uncultured bacterium. RNAcentral describes it as "bacterial SSU rRNA". It matches the Rfam family "Bacterial small subunit ribosomal RNA", at positions 975 to 1368 of the family's 1533-position model. The record is from RNAcentral.
CAGCCUUUGACAUGUCCACUAUGGAUUUGAGAGAUCAGAUCCUUCGGUUCGGCCGGGUGGAACACAGGUGCUGCAUGGCUGUCGUCAGCUCGUGUCGUGAGAUGUUGGGUUAAGUCCCGCAACGAGCGCAACCCUCAUCUUUAGUUGCCCCCGGGUCAGGCCGGGCACUCUAAAGAAACCGCCGGUGACAAGCCGGAGGAAGGCGGGGAUGACGUCAAGUCCUCAUGGCCCUUACAGGCUGGGCUACACACGUACUACAAUGGUGGUGACAGAGGGCAGCGAAAGCGCGAGCUGGAGCUAAUCCUCAAAAGCCAUCUCAGUUCGGAUUGCACUCUGCAACUCGGGUGCAUGAAGUUGGAAUCGCUAGUAAUCGCAGAUCAGCACGCUGCGGUGAAUA